This 329-nucleotide ribosomal RNA is filed under the name uncultured eukaryote. RNAcentral's name for it is "partial 18S ribosomal RNA". It matches the Rfam family "Eukaryotic small subunit ribosomal RNA", at positions 1470 to 1796 of the family's 1831-position model. The record is from RNAcentral.
CCCUUAGAUGUCCUGGGCCGCACGCGCGCUACACUGAGUGUCUGAGAUACGAGUCUGCCUGGUCCGGCAAGGUCUAGGUAAUCGCUAAAAGACACAUCAUGCUUGGGAUAGAUUAUUGCAAAUAUUAAUCUUGAACGAGGAAUUCCUAGUAAGCGCAGGUCAACAGCUUGCGUUGAUUACGUCCCUGCCCUUUGUACACACCGCCCGUCGCUACUACUGAUUGGAUGUUUAAGCGAGGUUCUCGAACUGCUAGCGACUUAGCUUCGGUGAGGUCGCAGUGUGGGAAGUGAACCUAGCUUUGGUGUCUAGAGGAAGUAAAAGUCGUAACA